ACACAAGCUGCUAUUUACUGGUCUUAUGAUCUUGGAUAUAGCUCAUGUUCCUUACUGAUGUGGAGAAAUACAUAUCAAGAUUGUUCUAACUGCUUUUUAAUUUCAAUUUGACUAAUGGAAAAGAGUACUUGAAACAUGUUUCCUUUUAUUUAUAAUUUAAAAAAAUCAAAUAUGUGCACACACACAAGUAAUUUUGGUGCAUUAAUAGAAUAUACAUGAAUAGUUUCAUAAUGUGAUAUGAUAUUUUAAAUAUUCUAGAAAAAUUAGACUAAUUAUAAUUUUGACUCUUCUGACUCUCAUUACAGGUAAAGCUCAUUGAAUAAAUGUUGUAGCUACAGUUUGAGUAUUCUCUUAAUUUUAACUAAUCUUAAAAUUAUUUAUCUGUUGAUCCAAAAUUUUGUUAUAUAUUUUCUCCAUAAAUAGUUUGUAACUCUUUAUUUUAAAUUACUUAAAAUAAUUGUAUAAUACUAAUUUAUUUCUAAUUUUUUAGUUAGUUUGUUAUUUCAAUUUCAACACUAACUAAUGAAAAUUUCUUUAGCAUGUGUAAUAUUUUCCUUAAGAAAAUAAAACUCUUAACAAAUUUUCAUUAAGAAAAUAAAACUAAAUAAUCUUGACCACCACAUUUAUAUAAACAAAUUCAUGUUUAGGUAGCCUUUAUUCUGAACUCUCUGAUUUUAUCAGCGGGAUUGUAUGCUAACAGUUAAUUAAAUGAACCAGACACAUGUUAUAUUUAUCUUAUGCUUAAUGUAUAUUAAUGCUUUGAUACUUCAUAUUGCAAUAUUAGAAUAAUAGCACUUUGAUUUAUCAGGAUUAAAAAACUUGAACUUAUAUUUGGAAAUUAAACAAACCAGAAAAUAGACUAUUUACCUUAAUCUUUAUUCAGGUAAUUAACUAGCAUAUAUUUUGGUAGCAUAUUGUGGGGUUCAAAGUAUUUUGCACAUAUUUUAAAUACUUUUACAAUGAUAUAAAUAUGUAUUUAUUUUAGAAAAGCAAAAUAAAGAAAAUUAUUAUUUUUUGAUGUGUGCAACUUUUUUCUCAACUUUAUUUUAAAAAUUAUUGUUUUGAAAAAAGAAAAACAAAAUUAUUGUUUUAACUCAACUAUUACCAUCUACUGAUAGAUGUUGUUAACAUUAUUGUGUGUUUUCCUUCAGGAUUUAAAAAAUAUGUUUUUUACCUAAUAGGUAUUACUUUAUCCUUUAAAAAUAAUAUUAUUAUAACAUCUAUUCAUUCGACUGGAAGUCCCUUAAUAGACAUCAUCCAUCAUAUGAAUGUAUUAACAUUACAAAACCAUUCACCUUUUACUGAAUAUUUAGAUUGGUUUCAAUUUUUAAGCACUAUAAAUAAUGUUCUGCCCAUGUCUAUAGAUGUGCUUCCCAUGGUCUCUUUUGAUCACCCUGUGGGAUAGGCAAGGACUGGUUUAUAGGUUUGUUUGUUUGUUUUUUUCAUUACUAUCAAGGAAUUGAGAGGUCAAAAUCCUGAUACAAGGCCACAAAAAACAGGAAGUACAGGUGCCAGCUGGUAAACCACAAUGUUUAAUAUUUAAUUAAUUGCUUAUUCUCUUAAAAUACCCUCAUCAUUAACAGGGUUUAGAGUAGAGGUGGUGCUCAUAAAACAUGUAUAACUGCUCUAUGGCUGCUCCUUCUGCAUGGAGUGGGUGGCUGUAUCGUGGAUUACAUGGCAUUGUUAAGAUAAGGUCUCAGUUGAUGGAGAUCAUGACCUGUUGAGGGAUGAGACUGCGUAUAACAUAAAAUUAAUAAAUGUAUAGCAUAGAAUCUUUGACAGAAUAAUGAUGUCCCUGGGCAACCAGUGAAAGUAAAAAGGGAUUCUGUUUAAUUCAGCCAGGUCAGAUGAAAUCUGGUCAUUAAGUGGUGAACAGAUGUAUGAGGAAGGUUGAGCUCAUAUGUGAUUAACCAGAAACAGAAAAUACAUGAUUCAAAAAUUGAUAUGUGUACAAAUUACACAAUUGGUAUUUCACAUAAACAUUUCAAAUUAAACCACAAAGCUAUGACUUGGAACAUAAAUCUUUUAGAAAAAAAACAGAACAUAUUUUAUCCCUUAGUUAGGCUACCAUGGUUAUUUCUCCUAAUAUCCAGUUAAAAAGUGUAGCAAUACCAUUUCUCCAUAAGGUAUGGAUUUAAUCCUAUCUUUUACUUUAUGGGCUACUCUUUAACUGAAUCAUGGGAGUUAUUAGUGUUUCACACAAAAAAAAGUUGGAACAUAUCACAGGCAGUGGGCAAGCAGAUAGGACUAUAAAGCUUGUACACUUAGCCCUGAGCAACAAGGUAACUGGCUCAUUGGGACCUUUCACUUCCCGAAAUGCCAAGGGCAGCUGAAAAGAUAACCAUACAGAGAAGAGUGAUUUAUAGUAUUUAUAAGUGGAAAGUGUUGGUGUGCUGUUGGGUCCUACCCUGACUGUCAGGUCAGAGAGCCACACCAGAAUAACUCACAUAAGCAUCUCCUUGUGCCCAGCUGGGUCCCUGUGACCAGGUGAGCUGUCUUUUUAUUUUUGUCUUCUGAAAUAAGAAUCUGACUUGAUUUUUCAUGCCUCCUGUUCUCCAAACAAUAAUGCUACCCCUCGGGAGUUCUCUUGUGGCUCAACAGGUUAAAAAUCUGGCAUUGUCACUGCUAUGACUCAGGUCAUUGCUGUGGCUUGAGUGCAGUCCCUGGCCUGGGAUCCUCUGCAUGCUGCGGGUGCAGCCAAAAAAGGUAAAAAAAAAUGCUGUUCUUUAAGGUAUUUUAACACAGAUUUCACACGGUCUGGUCAAGUCACAGAUAUAGUGAUUUGAAGUAAUGUACAUGUUUUUGUUUUUUCAUGAGUUGCUUAUACAUUUAAAAUUUUCUGAGCUUCAAUUUCCUUUCUGCAAAAUGGAAAAACUAAAUCUAUUGAAAAGGAUUGUUGUGAACAGCAAAUGUGAUCAUAUGGAUAAAGUGUACUGAAUACUGAGUACUUGGUAGCUAUUGUUAUUUGUAUAAAAGGGAGUCAAAAUAAUGACAGAAAGUCAGUUACUUUCACAUGGAAAUUUUAUAUUUGCUGCGUAUUGGCUGUAUGACUUUGAGCACAUACUUAGUCACUAAGCCCAGAUGUUGUAUUAUUUGAAGUUCCUCCUGAGCUCUUUAGAUAAAAGAGAAAUUGGACACACAUAUUUUGGAGAAUGCUUAUGUCAGAACUCUAAUUAAAUUAUUUAAGAGCAAAUUGAGAACAAUUUUACAGUAGUUGUGGAUUUUUGGAAAUUACAUAGUUGAAUUUGGUCAUUGAUAUUUUGUGAUAAAGGUAUGUAUCAUGAAUGGUUGACAUUCACUGUUGCAAUAAUUUAAACUCAUAUAAUGAAUCAGUUCAAAUCACUGAGCAUAUUUACCAAGCUGUACACAUAAUUAACAUUCUAAUUCCCUCGAAUAUCUUAUCUCAUUAUCCACACUGCUUAGGAAAAUAUAUUAAAUAGACUCUGGCAAUCAGCAAGCUUAGGCUCUAUGAGACCCCAAGAGGAGGACAUUAAGUUUCUACUAGUGACCAAGUGGGUUUUUGUUAACUUUUGGAAUGAGGUUAGAGAAAGUUGUACAUGUUUUUAUGAUUACUGUCCCUAAUGAGAGCUUUGGAAUAAUGAGAGUUGGAAUUUGGACUCAGUGGGCGAGAUUUGGAAGUGGGCAAUUUUGUUAGAAAUGUUAACUUGUUUUAGUGCAAAUUAAACAUUUUCCAAGCCAACAAACUUUUUCCAGUGUCCUUCCCAGCCAUGCUCACCGCAUUCAUAGCCUCUACUCCUGCUCUUCUUAUUUUUAAACAGUUAAAAUGCCACCAGGAUUCUAAAUUUUGAUUUCCUUUGCUUACUAUUUCUUAUUUCCUUUAUGUAUUGCUUAUUUUUCUGGGACAAUUUUUUUCUAAGAAAAAAAGUGAAUGUUCAGCUGUAGAAUCAAUUGUCAAAUAAGAAGGAAAUGUUCAAGUUUUGAGGUAAAAUAGCAUUUUGUGCACAGUCCCUGAAUUCCCAUUAAAAUUCCCAUUAGGACAUAGUGGGAAAAAAAGCCAACUCAUAAGAGUGAAAGCCAAGAUUUACAGUCAGUCUAUUGCCAGAAUAUGGGGACAAUUUGUGAUAAUUACUGAAGUGAAAAAAUAAACAGAUUAACUUGGAUAGGGCUCAUUGCAAUUCACAAAAUUGUUGAGGAGAUAUGUAAAUCUAGCUAUUCACUGGCAAAAUUUUUGAAAAUAUAAGUAGAAAUAACUGUUUUAAAAACUUUACUCUAGAAUAAUUCUACCAAUUGAGAUGACCUAAAAUGGGGAUGUUAAAAAUGAGGAAAUUUUUUUUUCUCAAAAAAAGGACAUAUAUUUGAGUUAAGGUUUAAUUAGUUAAAGACUUUAAAAAAUAAUGAUUUUAAAAAAUUUUGAUAAUAAAGCUCACU
This 4389-nucleotide long non-coding RNA is filed under the name Sus scrofa (pig). RNAcentral describes it as "lncRNA (ENSSSCG00000059677.1)". The record is from RNAcentral. Lineage: Eukaryota; Metazoa; Chordata; Mammalia; Artiodactyla; Suidae.